CGGGCUUGAAAGUUACUGACGUCUUUGGAAACAGAGAUUCCCUUCGGGGCAGGAAACUAGGUGCUGCAUGGUUGUCGUCAGCUCGUGCCGUGAGGUGUCGGGUUAAGUCCCAUAACGAGCGCAACCCCUACCGUUAGUUGCCAUCAGGUAAAGCUGGGCACUCUGGCGGGACUGCCGGUGUAAGCCGAGAGGAAGGUGGGGAUGACGUCAAAUCAGCACGGCCCUUACGUCCGGGGCUACACACGUGUUACAAUGGCAGGUACAGAGGGCAGCUACCCAGCGAUGGGAUGCGAAUCUCGAAAGCCUGUCUCAGUUCGGAUUGGAGGCUGAAACCCGCCUCCAUGAAGUUGGAUUCGCUAGUAAUCGCGCAUCAGCCAUGGCGCGGUGAAUACGUUCCCGGGCC
RNAcentral lists this ribosomal RNA (403 nucleotides) under uncultured bacterium. Its description in RNAcentral is "bacterial SSU rRNA". It matches the Rfam family "Bacterial small subunit ribosomal RNA", at positions 976 to 1380 of the family's 1533-position model. The record is from RNAcentral.